This 71-nucleotide transfer RNA is filed under the name Marmota monax (woodchuck). RNAcentral describes it as "tRNA.Gly". Lineage: Eukaryota; Metazoa; Chordata; Mammalia; Rodentia; Sciuridae. The record is from RNAcentral.
GUGGUUGUGGCUCAGAGGUAGAGAGCUCACCUACCAUGUGUGAGGCACUGGGUUUGAUCCUUAGCACCACA